Molecule: ribosomal RNA, 1393 nt
Filed under: uncultured bacterium
Lineage: Bacteria
Description: bacterial SSU rRNA
Rfam family: Bacterial small subunit ribosomal RNA
Source: RNAcentral
AGAGUUUGAUCCUGGCUCAGGAUGAACGCUAGCGGCAGGCUUAACACAUGCAAGUCGAGGGGCAGCAUGUCCAGCAAUGGAUGAUGGCGACCGGCGGAAGGGUGCGUAACGCGUGAGCAACAUGCCCUAUACAGGGAGAUACACCAGGGAAACUUGGUCUAAUAUCCCAUAGCAUUCAUUGAAGGCAUCUUUAAUGAAUUAAAGCUUCGGUGGUAUAGGAUUGGCUCGCGUGACAUUAGCCAGAUGGUGAGGUAACGGCUCACCAUAGCAAUGAUGUCUAGGGGUUUUGAGAGGAAGGCCCCCCACACUGGGACUGAGACACGGCCCAGACUCCUACGGGAGGCAGCAGUGAGGAAUAUUGGACAAUGGAUGGAAAUCUGAUCCAGCCAUGCCGCGUGCAGGAAGACGGCCUUAUGGGUUGUAAACUGCUUUUAUACGGGAGCAAUAAGGGUUACGAGUAAUCCGAUGAGAGUACUGUAUGAAUAAGGAUCGGCUAACUCCGUGCCAGCAGCCGCGGUAAUACGGAGGAUCCUAGCGUUAUUCGGAUUUAUUGGGUUUAAAGGGAGCGUAGGCGGGGGGUCAAGUCAGCUGUGAAAUACGUACGCUUAACGUUCGUCUUGCAGUUGAAACUGGUUUUCUUGAGUGCGUAUGAGGCAGGCGGAAUUCGUGGUGUAGCGGUGAAAUGCUUAGAUAUCUGGAGGAACACCAAUGGCGAAGGCAGCCAUCUGGAUCAGUACUGACGCUGAGGCGCGAAGGUGCGGGGAGCAAACAGGUUUAGAUACCCUGGUAGUCCGCACAGUAAACGAUGUGCACUAGGUGUCGGGCAGUCAAUGUUCGGUACCGCAGCAAACGCGUUAAGUGCACCGCCUGGGGAGUAUGCCCGCAAGGGUGAAACUCAAAGGAGUUGACGGGGGCCUGCACAAGCGGUGGAGCAUGUGGUUUAAUUCGAUGAUACGCGAGAAACCUUACCAGGACUUGACAUGGACAGGAAUGGUCGUGAAAGCGAUCAGCUUUUCGGAGUCUGUUCACAGGUGCUGCAUGGCUGUCGUCAGCUCGUGCUGUGAAGUGUUGGGUUAAGUCCCGCAACGAGCGCAACCCCUGCUGUCUGUUGCUACCAAGUGAAGUUGGGCACUCAGACGGGACCGCCGGUGACAAACCGGAGGAAGGUGGGGAGGACGUCAAGUCAUCAUGGCCCUUAUGUCUUGGGGUACACACGUGCUACAAUGGCCGGUACAGAGCGCAGCGAAGCCGAGAGGCCAAGCGAAUCGCAAAAAGCCGGUCCCAGCACGGAUUGGAGUCUGCAACUCGACUCCAUGAAGUUGGAAUCGCUAGUAAUCGCGCAUCAGCAUGGCGCGAUGAAUCCGUUCCCAGGCCUUGUACUCACCGCCCGUCA